AAUUUGAUCCACGCAGGGUAAUAAUGGGUGCGUCCACUAUUCACCCAUUCCAGUAUUUUAAAUAGCUUUGAUGCCUUGCAGUGUUAAUUUGUCACAAUACAAUUGAAUGAUCACUUAUAAGAUUUGCUCCAUUUUAAUCAAGAUUUUUUUAAGCAUCAGUAUCAUACAAUAAUACACUAAAUGGAAUGAUUCUACAUUAAUCUUACAGUAAAGCAAUAUCAUUAAAAUGCAAAAAGAACUGCAGCGGGAGCAUAUUCAAAAUACACACAAAGAAAAAAGGUCUACAGUGAAAACAAAAAAUGAACAAUUACACAUUAGAGCGAUGUUUUUUUUUUAGAUGAAAAACAGUCGCUCAGGAUUCGGUUUAUCCCACUGAAAUGACUAACUUUAAGUCCAUUCAUCUACAUAUCUAACACAUGAAUAAAUAACACAAUGUAAUAACUGUAUUCAUAGAAAUACAGUGUAUACCAAUGGAAAAUUCCUAUAAUAAAGUACCAAUUAGAGAAGCAUUGAAAGCUGAAUUUCAUUUAAAGUGCAAAGUACGUAAUAGAUUAAGCUGAUACAGAAAUAAGGACACCUACAUGAUAUUAUUAUAAAUAUGAAUAAGUUGCGCUCAUUUUUCUAGUUAUUUGAAAUUUUCGCUUUGCAGUGGUCUUAUACAGUAAUUAGUGGAGACCAACAAGAAUGGCGAUUCAAAUGAUGGAAAUAUUGCUGAAUUAAAUGAAUACCAGCCAGAUUCAUGAAAUGAAAAACUAGGUACAGUGAUUAAUGUGGUCAUAACACAGUUUCAUUGAAUAGCCUUCGUAUGAGAUAUGAAAUUAAAAUAUAAUAUUUUGACACAGACCAGUGAAUAUCAUUUUACGAUGAUAAAAGUAUAACUUGAAUCAGAAAUAUUUCAAAAUCACCUAUAAAAUGAAUUUAAUCAAGAAUUGAUUAAAUGAUUACACAAAUAUUUCAGUUUAGGACAUUGUAUUGAUGGCAAUGUGGAGGUAUGACUUAAACAAGUAAAUUGACAUACCAAUCUUUUUGAUACUGGUACAUCGCAGAGAUUCAUAUUCAAAUAUUUGUUUGAAAAUGUCAUAUGUUGGUCAGAGACAAUUUGAUAAUAUCGAUACUAAUUUAAAAACCUAAAUCGAAGGAGUUUCAUAGUCAUAGUCAUUUCAAUAGCACAUGCUCGAGUCAAGUUAUUUACAGCCAAAAAACUCCCAGCAAAUUCAAUUUUGCUGAAAUUAAAGCAUCAUUCUCAAUUAAAACUGAAAUUAAAGAGAAAUAAUAACUGUUUACAAUGUACAGCUCACUAUAACCGAAAUGGAGCCAUAAAAGAUAAAUUGUAUGCUGGUUCAACAAAAAACUAUGGUAGAUAUUUUCUAUUUGUUUGAAUAAAGUUAAUGCUACAUAAAAAAGAACAGACCUAGCCAGGGUGAGCAAAUAAUGCUGUAUAAAUAAAUGAUCAACUGAAGUACCACACUAUGAAUAAACAACACUUGUAUGGUAUUGGUGGGUACGGCAACAUUCGUGAAUAUGGAUACACUGUGUAUACAGUGGUGAGGUGAAAAUUACCGUAUACUAUUACACUGUUAAUCUGUCAAAAUGCCUUGUAUAUUAUUGAAAACGACGUAAGGAAGAUUUACUAAGAUAUAAAAUGAUGGCACGAUUAUUUGAUAACACAAAAAUAUAGAAAAAAGUACGGUUGAAUCAAAUAUGUCAACAUGAUCAAUGGAAAUUCACUGAGAUUAUAAUAAACAUAUUUCCAAAUAAUGUGUUACAGAAAUAUGUUGGUAAUAAAAAAAAAAUGAA
This is a non-coding RNA of Styela clava, 1797 nucleotides long. The record is from RefSeq and is a predicted model, not a curated record. Lineage: Eukaryota; Metazoa; Chordata; Ascidiacea; Stolidobranchia; Styelidae.